This 271-nucleotide non-coding RNA is filed under the name Pongo abelii (Sumatran orangutan). The record is from RNAcentral. Lineage: Eukaryota; Metazoa; Chordata; Mammalia; Primates; Hominidae.
UCCGCCGUGGCCCCAGAUCCUCCCCGCACCGCCGUUUUGAGCGUUUACACUCAUUACCCCGAUAUCUCCCCACAAACCUAAACAAUUUCGAGAGGGACUUGUGUUCUGCAGCCAGUCACAGAAUAUCAGGUGAGCUGGGCGCUCCUCUCCGCCCUGCUUAGAAUCACUGGAAUGACCGUUCUGUGGCUACAGCCCUAAAAGAGCUACUAAAAAGACCAGAAGUAGUAUGAGAACUCAUGAAUACAAAUAUAAAUAAAAGACAUCUGGAGAA